GCAAGUCUGGUGCCAGCAGCCGCGGUAAUUCCAGCUCCAAUAGCGUAUAUUAAAGUUGUUGCAGUUAAAAAGCUCGUAGUUGAACCUUGGCCCUGGCUGGCCGGUCCGCCUCACCGCGUGCACUGGUUCGGUCGGGCCUUCACCUUCUGCGGAACCGCAUCUCCUUCACUGGGGGUGUCGGGGAACCAGGACUUUUAC
Molecule: ribosomal RNA, 198 nt
Filed under: uncultured fungus
Lineage: Eukaryota; Fungi
Description: partial 18S ribosomal RNA
Rfam family: Eukaryotic small subunit ribosomal RNA
Source: RNAcentral